UACGGAGGGUGCAAACGUUGCUCGGAAUCAUUGGGCGUAAAGCGCACGUAGGCGGCUCGUUAAGUCGGGUGUGAAAGCCCUCGGCUCAACCGAGGAAGUGCAUUCGAAAACUGGCGAGCUUGAAUAUGGAAGAGGGUCGCGGAAUUCCCGGUGUAGAGGUGAAAUUCGUAGAUAUCGGGAGGAACACCAGUGGCGAAGGCGGCGACCUGGGCCAAUAUUGACGCUGAGGUGCGAAAGCGUGGGGAGCAAACAGG
This 254-nucleotide ribosomal RNA is filed under the name uncultured bacterium. RNAcentral describes it as "partial 16S ribosomal RNA". It matches the Rfam family "Bacterial small subunit ribosomal RNA", at positions 524 to 776 of the family's 1533-position model. The record is from RNAcentral.